RNAcentral lists this ribosomal RNA (700 nucleotides) under uncultured bacterium. RNAcentral describes it as "bacterial SSU rRNA". It matches the Rfam family "Bacterial small subunit ribosomal RNA", at positions 1 to 683 of the family's 1533-position model. The record is from RNAcentral.
AUUGUACCUGGCCUCAGAUUGAACGCUGGCGGCAGGCCUAACACAUGCAAGUCGAGCGGUAACAUUUCUAGCUUGCUAGAAGAUGACGAGCGGCGGACGGGUGAGUAAUACUUGGGGAUCUGCCUGAUGGCGGGGGACAACCACUGGAAACGGUGGCUAAUACCGCAUAAUGCCUACGGGCCAAAGUGUGGGACCUUCGGGCCACAUGCCAUCAGAUGAACCCAAGCGAGAUUAGCUAGUUGGUGAGGUAACGGCUCACCAAGGCGACGAUCUCUAGCUGUUCUGAGAGGAUGAUCAGCCACACUGGGACUGAGACACGGCCCAGACUCCUACGGGAGGCAGCAGUGGGGAAUAUUGGACAAUGGGCGCAAGCCUGAUCCAGCCCAGCCGCGUGUGUGAAGAAGGCCUUCGGGUUGUAAAGCACUUUCAGUGGUGAGGAAGGCGUUGUAGUUAAUAGCUGCAACGAUUGACGUUAGCCACAGAAGAAGCACCGGCUAAACUCCGUGCCAGCAGCCGCGGUAAUACCGGAGGGUGCGAGCGUUAAUCGGAAAUUACUGGGGCGUAAAGCGCACGUUAGGCGGCUUGUUAAGCAAGGAUGUGAAAAGCCCCAGGGGCUCAACCUUUGGGAAUUUGCAUUUUUGGAACUGGCAGCUUAGAGUUUUUGAAAGAGGGGUGGUUAGAAUUUUCCAGUGUAAGCGGG